RNAcentral lists this ribosomal RNA (237 nucleotides) under uncultured bacterium. RNAcentral describes it as "partial 16S ribosomal RNA". It matches the Rfam family "Bacterial small subunit ribosomal RNA", at positions 102 to 334 of the family's 1533-position model. The record is from RNAcentral.
CGGCGACGGGUGAGUAACGCGUGGGUAACCUACCUGUACACACGGAUAACAUACCGAAAGGUAAUGCUAAUACGGGAUAAUAUAUUUGAGAGGCAUCUCUUGAAUAUCAAAGGUGAGCCAGUACAGGAUGGACCCGCGUCUGAUUAGCUAGUUGGUAAGGUAACGGCUUACCAAGGCGACGAUCAGUAGCCGACCUGAGAGGGUGAUCGGCCACAUUGGAACUGAGACACGGUCCAA